Gossypium arboreum is the source of this 141-nucleotide non-coding RNA. Lineage: Eukaryota; Viridiplantae; Streptophyta; Magnoliopsida; Malvales; Malvaceae. The record is from Rfam.
UGUUAUAAAUUUCAUCCAUUUGUACUGUUAAAAACAGACAUGGUUGAUGGAAUAACCAGACAGAUGUGACAUGUUACGUGUACCUCAUGCUAAUGUACAGGGACCAAUUUUUAACAAUAGAAAUAGAUGAAAUUUUUAAUA